This 601-nucleotide ribosomal RNA is filed under the name Bacillus cereus. RNAcentral's name for it is "bacterial SSU rRNA". It matches the Rfam family "Bacterial small subunit ribosomal RNA", at positions 68 to 652 of the family's 1533-position model. RNAcentral also lists the same sequence under 1 other name. The record is from RNAcentral. Lineage: Bacteria; Bacillati; Bacillota; Bacilli; Caryophanales; Bacillaceae.
UGGAUUAAGAGCUUGCUCUUAUGAAGUUAGCGGCGGACGGGUGAGUAACACGUGGGUAACCUGCCCAUAAGACUGGGAUAACUCCGGGAAACCGGGGCUAAUACCGGAUAACAUUUUGAACCGCAUGGUUCGAAAUUGAAAGGCGGCUUCGGCUGUCACUUAUGGAUGGACCCGCGUCGCAUUAGCUAGUUGGUGAGGUAACGGCUCACCAAGGCAACGAUGCGUAGCCGACCUGAGAGGGUGAUCGGCCACACUGGGACUGAGACACGGCCCAGACUCCUACGGGAGGCAGCAGUAGGGAAUCUUCCGCAAUGGACGAAAGUCUGACGGAGCAACGCCGCGUGAGUGAUGAAGGCUUUCGGGUCGUAAAACUCUGUUGUUAGGGAAGAACAAGUGCUAGUUGAAUAAGCUGGCACCUUGACGGUACCUAACCAGAAAGCCACGGCUAACUACGUGCCAGCAGCCGCGGUAAUACGUAGGUGGCAAGCGUUAUCCGGAAUUAUUGGGCGUAAAGCGCGCGCAGGUGGUUUCUUAAGUCUGAUGUGAAAGCCCACGGCUCACCCGUGGAGGGUCAUUGGAAACUGGGAGACUUGAGUGCAGA